This 2935-nucleotide ribosomal RNA is filed under the name Salmonella enterica subsp. diarizonae. RNAcentral's name for it is "bacterial LSU rRNA". It matches the Rfam family "Bacterial large subunit ribosomal RNA". Lineage: Bacteria; Pseudomonadati; Pseudomonadota; Gammaproteobacteria; Enterobacterales; Enterobacteriaceae. The record is from RNAcentral.
GGGUUGUGAGGUUAAGCGACCAAGCGUACACGGUGGAUGCCCUGGCAGUCAGAGGCGAUGAAGGACGUGCUAAUCUGCGAAAAGCGCCGGUAAGGUGAUAUGAACCGUUAUAACCGGCGAUGUCCGAAUGGGGAAACCCAGUGUGACUCGUCACACUAUCAUUAACUGAAUCCAUAGGUUAAUGAGGCGAACCGGGGGAACUGAAACAUCUAAGUACCCCGAGGAAAAGAAAUCAACCGAGAUUCCCCCAGUAGCGGCGAGCGAACGGGGAGGAGCCCAGAGCCUGAAUCAGCAUGUGUGUUAGUGGAAGCGUCUGGAAAGGCGCGCGAUACAGGGUGACAGCCCCGUACACAAAAGCGCACAUGCUGUGAGCUCGAUGAGUAGGGCGGGACACGUGGUAUCCUGUCUGAAUAUGGGGGGACCAUCCUCCAAGGCUAAAUACUCCUGACUGACCGAUAGUGAACCAGUACCGUGAGGGAAAGGCGAAAAGAACCCCGGCGAGGGGAGUGAAACAGAACCUGAAACCGUGUACGUACAAGCAGUGGGAGCCUCUCUUUAUGGGGGGUGACUGCGUACCUUUUGUAUAAUGGGUCAGCGACUUAUAUUCUGUAGCAAGGUUAACCGCAUAGGGGAGCCGAAGGGAAACCGAGUCUUAACCGGGCGUUAAGUUGCAGGGUAUAGACCCGAAACCCGGUGAUCUAGCCAUGGGCAGGUUGAAGGUUGGGUAACACUAACUGGAGGACCGAACCGACUAAUGUUGAAAAAUUAGCGGAUGACCUGUGGCUGGGGGUGAAAGGCCAAUCAAACCGGGAGAUAGCUGGUUCUCCCCGAAAGCUAUUUAGGUAGCGCCUCGUGAAUUCAUCUCCGGGGGUAGAGCACUGUUUCGGCUAGGGGGCCAUCCCGGCUUACCAACCCGAUGCAAACUGCGAAUACCGGAGAAUGUUAUCACGGGAGACACACGGCGGGUGCUAACGUCCGUCGUGAAGAGGGAAACAACCCAGACCGCCAGCUAAGGUCCCAAAGUCAUGGUUAAGUGGGAAACGAUGUGGGAAGGCCCAGACAGCCAGGAUGUUGGCUUAGAAGCAGCCAUCAUUUAAAGAAAGCGUAAUAGCUCACUGGUCGAGUCGGCCUGCGCGGAAGAUGUAACGGGGCUAAACCAUGCACCGAAGCUGCGGCAGCGACACUUUAGUGUUGUUGGGUAGGGGAGCGUUCUGUAAGCCGUUGAAGGUGUGUCGUGAGGCAUGCUGGAGGUAUCAGAAGUGCGAAUGCUGACAUAAGUAACGAUAAAGCGGGUGAAAAGCCCGCUCGCCGGAAGACCAAGGGUUCCUGUCCAACGUUAAUCGGGGCAGGGUGAGUCGACCCCUAAGGCGAGGCCGAAAGGCGUAGUCGAUGGGAAACGGGUUAAUAUUCCCGUACUUGGUGUUACUGCGAAGGGGGGACGGAGAAGGCUAUGUUGGCCGGGCGACGGUAGUCCCGGUUUAAGCGUGUAGGUGUGUGUUCCAGGUAAAUCCGGUUCACUUUAACACUGAGGCGUGAUGACGAGGCACCACGGUGCUGAAGCAACAAAUGCCCUGCUUCCAGGAAAAGCCUCUAAGCAUCAGGUAACAUCAAAUCGUACCCCAAACCGACACAGGUGGUCAGGUAGAGAAUACCAAGGCGCUUGAGAGAACUCGGGUGAAGGAACUAGGCAAAAUGGUGCCGUAACUUCGGGAGAAGGCACGCUGACACGUAGGUGAAGUGAUUUACUCAUGGAGCUGAAGUCAGUCGAAGAUACCAGCUGGCUGCAACUGUUUAUUAAAAACACAGCACUGUGCAAACACGAAAGUGGACGUAUACGGUGUGACGCCUGCCCGGUGCCGGAAGGUUAAUUGAUGGGGUCAGCGCAAGCGAAGCUCCUGAUCGAAGCCCCGGUAAACGGCGGCCGUAACUAUAACGGUCCUAAGGUAGCGAAAUUCCUUGUCGGGUAAGUUCCGACCUGCACGAAUGGCGUAAUGAUGGCCAGGCUGUCUCCACCCGAGACUCAGUGAAAUUGAACUCGCUGUGAAGAUGCAGUGUACCCGCGGCAAGACGGAAAGACCCCGUGAACCUUUACUAUAGCUUGACACUGAACAUUGAGCCUUGAUGUGUAGGAUAGGUGGGAGGCUUUGAAGCGUGGACGCCAGUCUGCGUGGAGCCGACCUUGAAAUACCACCCUUUAAUGUUUGAUGUUCUAACGUGGACCCGUAAUCCGGGUUGCGGACAGUGUCUGGUGGGUAGUUUGACUGGGGCGGUCUCCUCCUAAAGAGUAACGGAGGAGCACGAAGGUUGGCUAAUCCUGGUCGGACAUCAGGAGGUUAGUGCAAUGGCAUAAGCCAGCUUGACUGCGAGCGUGACGGCGCGAGCAGGUGCGAAAGCAGGUCAUAGUGAUCCGGUGGUUCUGAAUGGAAGGGCCAUCGCUCAACGGAUAAAAGGUACUCCGGGGAUAACAGGCUGAUACCGCCCAAGAGUUCAUAUCGACGGCGGUGUUUGGCACCUCGAUGUCGGCUCAUCACAUCCUGGGGCUGAAGUAGGUCCCAAGGGUAUGGCUGUUCGCCAUUUAAAGUGGUACGCGAGCUGGGUUUAGAACGUCGUGAGACAGUUCGGUCCCUAUCUGCCGUGGGCGCUGGAAGACUGAGGGGGGCUGCUCCUAGUACGAGAGGACCGGAGUGGACGCAUCACUGGUGUUCGGGUUGUCAUGCCAAUGGCACUGCCCGGUAGCUAAAUGCGGAAAAGAUAAGUGCUGAAAGCAUCUAAGCACGAAACUUGCCCCGAGAUGAGUCUUCCCUGAGACUUUGAGUCUCCUGAAGGAACGUUAAAGACGAUGACGUUGAUAGGCCGGGUGUGUAAGCGCAGCGAUGCGUUGAGCUAACCGGUACUAAUGAACCGUGAGGCUUAACCUUACAACGCCGAAGCUGUU